GACGAACGCUGGCGGCGUGGAUUAGGCAUGCAAGUCGAACGGUAUCAUCCUUUCGGGGGUGAGAGAGUGGCGAACUGGUGAGUAACACGUAGGUUAUCUACCCUCAAGACGGGGACAACCCAGGGAAACUUGGGCUAAUACCGGAUGUGAGCAACUUUUAGUUGUUUGAAAGGUGGCGUAAGCUGUCGCUUGGGGAUGAGCCUGCGUCCUAUUAGUUAGUUGGUGAGGUAACGGCUCACCUAGGCAAUGAUAGGUAGGCGGCCUUAACGGGUGGUCGCCCACACUGGGAUUGAGAGACGGCCCAGACUCCUACGGGAGCAGCAGUCGAGAAUAGUCUACAAUGGACGAAGUCUGAUAGUGCGACGCCGCGUGAACGAAGAAUCCCUUCGGGGUGUAAAGUUCUUUUAUACGUGAGCAGUGCCCUUUAUAUGAAUAGUAUAGAGGGAGGAUUUAAGCGUAUGAAUAAGCAACGGCUAACUCCGUGC
This 485-nucleotide ribosomal RNA is filed under the name uncultured bacterium. RNAcentral's name for it is "bacterial SSU rRNA". It matches the Rfam family "Bacterial small subunit ribosomal RNA", at positions 28 to 508 of the family's 1533-position model. The record is from RNAcentral.